Molecule: long non-coding RNA, 420 nt
Organism: Solea senegalensis (Senegalese sole)
Lineage: Eukaryota; Metazoa; Chordata; Actinopteri; Pleuronectiformes; Soleidae
Exons: 3
Source: RefSeq, a predicted model, not a curated record
CAGGAAUGGAAAAAUAUGUGUCUUUUAGGCUUAUUGCAAUAGUCUGGGAGCGUCCUUGCCAUCUGUCAAGAAUGUGUUUGAUUACAGUUUUCUGCAGGACUUGACCAUGAGGUCAGGACAAUCAGUCUCCUGGAUGGGAGGCUUCUAUUUCCAGACCUGGAUGUGGUUGGACCAGAGCCCCUUCAGCUACAGUAACUUUGCUUCAGUGAAUACUGUCAGCCGAUACCAGUGCAUGUACCUCCAAACCAGAGCGGGCUGGUCCAAUCAUAGCUGUGGUAAUGCAUGGCCAUUCAUCUGCGUGAAGAAAACUGGUAGCUGCUAAACUGGACAGCAGGACAAAGCUGUGUUCACUGAGCUGAAUCAUAUUUAGUGUUGGAGGACAUUUAGACUGUUAAUGAACAUAACUGUGUUUACUUUUAG